AUACACAGAGGUCAGAGUAGUCGAACCCUGAAACAGGGGAGACUUUAACUAAUAAACUGUACUAAUUGGCCCAACCAAAAAUUCUAGAAAAAAAUUAGUAGAUAUAUAUAUGAGUCUAGUUUCAGGAAAAAUUUACGAAAUUGGAUUUUGAGUUUCGGAACUCGAGAUAUGAAUUUUUAAGAAACUAUGACGCAGUUGGAUAGCUUGUCCGAAUUUGUUU
Molecule: long non-coding RNA, 220 nt
Filed under: Gossypium barbadense (sea-island cotton)
Lineage: Eukaryota; Viridiplantae; Streptophyta; Magnoliopsida; Malvales; Malvaceae
Description: long non-coding RNA (GBAR_LNC003727)
Source: RNAcentral